Molecule: ribosomal RNA, 468 nt
Filed under: uncultured bacterium
Lineage: Bacteria
Description: partial 16S ribosomal RNA
Rfam family: Bacterial small subunit ribosomal RNA
Source: RNAcentral
GACGAACGCUGGCGGCGUGCUUAACACAUGCAAGUCGAACGGAAAGGCCCUGCCGUUGUUGCACGCGCGACGGGCGAACGAGUGAGAAACGCGUGAGUAGCCCGCACCUGUCUUUGGGCUAACGUAAGGUGACUCGGGCACAUACCGGAUAGGCGCUCUGGCUGCAUGGGGGUGGUUGGAAAGUUUCGGCGGUUGGGGAUGGCCUCGCGGCUUGCCGGCUGGUUGGUGGGGUAGUGGCUUACCAAGGCUUUGAUGGGUAGCCGGCCUGGGAGGGGGACCGGCCACAUGGGGCCUGCGAAAGGGCCCAGACUCCAACGGGAGGCAGCGGUGGGGAAUAUUGCACAAUGGGGGGAAGCCUGUUGCAGAAACGCCGCGUGCGGGAUGCCGGCCUCCGGGUGGAAAACCGCUUUCGCAUGUACCGAAGCGUGAGUGACGGUAACGGGUAAAGAAGCACCGGCUAACUACGUG